RNAcentral lists this unclassified non-coding RNA (334 nucleotides) under soil metagenome. RNAcentral's name for it is "partial contains 5.8S ribosomal RNA, internal transcribed spacer 2, and large subunit ribosomal RNA". The stretch from base 1 to 120 matches the Rfam family "5.8S ribosomal RNA", at positions 35 to 154 of the family's 154-position model. The record is from RNAcentral.
GAUGAAGAACGCAGCGAAAUGCGAUACGUAAUGUGAAUUGCAGAAUUCAGUGAAUCAUCGAAUCUUUGAACGCACAUUGCGCCUGCCAGCACUCUGGCAGGCAUGUCUGUUCGAGCGUCAUUUCAACCAUCAAGCCCUAGGCUUGCGUUGGAGCCCUGCGGCUGCCGCAGGCCCCUAAAAGCAGUGGCGGGCUCGCUAUCACACCGAGUGCAGUAGAUUACUCUUCGCUCAGGGCGUGUGGCGGGUUCCAGCCGUGAAACCCCCUACUUCUCAAGGUUGACCUCGGAUCAGGUAGGAAUACCCGCUGAACUUAAGCAUAUCAAUAAGCGGAGGA